RNAcentral lists this long non-coding RNA (1496 nucleotides) under Sinocyclocheilus grahami. Its description in RNAcentral is "lncRNA (ENSSGRG00000035873.1)". The record is from RNAcentral. Lineage: Eukaryota; Metazoa; Chordata; Actinopteri; Cypriniformes; Cyprinidae.
UUUUUUUUUAUUAAUAUUUUUAUUCUGCAAACACAUUAAAUUCAUCAGAAGUGACAGUAAAGACUUUUACAUUGACAUUCAUCAAAGUACCCUGAAAAAUGGAUCACAGUUUCCAGAAAAAUAUUAAUCAGCAAAACUGUUUUUGAUAAGUAUAGGCAUGCAAAUAAGGACAUGCAUGUGUGUUUCUUGCAGGUGUCAGAUGCUCGAGGACAUGCAGAUAAGGCCAAGCUCAAUGCUCAGGAUGUGUUACUGAGAGCCAAUCAGAGCAAAGCACGAGUGGAACAGACCAAUGAGGAGCUCAAGAGACCUCAUUCAGCAAAGACUUCCUCACAAACGAAACUGAUCCAAAGCGUAUAGAGGAAGUAGCUGAUGAGGUGAUGAAACAGUUUGCCAGUGUCAGUGCCUGGUGCACUAAAGAACGUGACCACGGAGAUCCGCCAACAUGUGGCCAGACUGACCCAGACGGCAGAGAAUACUCGCACUGCAGAGAGACUCCUACAAGAAGCACAGGCUGCCAAGUACAAUCAAAAACUGAAGUUCAAACUGAGUAGCAGCACAGGAAAGUUUCUGGAUCUUGAGAGAGAGGUUGACGAACUCCAACAGAAAACUCUAGAAACGUCCAGUAGUGCAGAUCAAACUCCGAGACAAACUGAAAACAUCACAGCAGAAAUCGAGCACACAGAACGGAUCAAAAGGCAGCAGGUGUGUUUAAAGCUCAUCAGAAGGCUGUGCAACUACGCCAGGAGGCAAAAGAUCUAUUAAUAGGUGCCACAAACAAACUACAGAGACUAAGAGAGUUGGAGAGAUCAUUUGUGAUAAAUCAGCACAUUCUGGUGGAGAAAGCUCAGGAGACGGAUGGGCUGGAGAAUGAGGCCAGAGAUGUACUGCAAGAACUCCGUCAGAAAAUCACCAUCUACAGCACCUGCGCUUAACUACUAUGACCAAAAACGAAUUAAUAAUGUUAUAAGCUCAGACUAUAAUCAGAUGUCAACCAUGUAAAUGCAAUUUUGUAUUGUCAAAAAUAAGUUGCUAACUGCCUGACCAAUUCAAGGUAUCCCUUUCAAUAUGCAUAUUUUUGCCUUUUCUAUGAAACUACGAAAAAAGCUCAUUCAGUUUAUUGUGUCCUAAAUAUGAGGAAUCUUGCAGUGUGCAAUAUCAAUAAACAUUCCUCUGGGCGGAAUAAGCCCCUCCAUUGUUGUGAGCAGCAAAUCAGGUUGGAUCUGCUUGUUAAAACUAAGUAUGGUGACAAUGAAAUGCCAAAAUAAAAAUUCCUUUAGAUUAUGUGAUGAAGCAAUAAACCACUGUGGCUUAUUGUUUUGUCUUUUUACUUUCAUAAAACUGUGGAAACAGCAAAAUUAUCAAAACAACUAUAUACGAUGUUUAUUAAAUAUUUAAACACAUAAUAUUGAUAAUACAAUAACCAUUUAUUAAUAAUAAUAAAAAGCUUGAGUCAACUGCACAUGUGACCUGUGCUGGCAAAAUGAGUCACAAUGAGC